UACGUAGGUGGCAAGCGUUGUCCGGAUUUACUGGGCGUAAAGGAUGCGUAGGCGGAUGUUUAAGUGAGAUGUGAAAUACCCGAGCUCAACUUGGGUGCUGCAUUUCAAACUGGAUAUCUAGAGUGUAGGAGAGGAAAGCGGAAUUCCUAGUGUAGCGGUGAAAUGCGUAGAGAUUAGGAAGAACACCAGUGGCGAAGGCGGCUUUCUGGACUGUAACUGACGCUGAGGCAUGAAAGCGUGGGGAGCAAACAGG
Molecule: ribosomal RNA, 253 nt
Filed under: uncultured bacterium
Lineage: Bacteria
Description: partial 16S ribosomal RNA
Rfam family: Bacterial small subunit ribosomal RNA
Source: RNAcentral